This is a non-coding RNA of Anisakis simplex (herring worm), 45 nucleotides long. Lineage: Eukaryota; Metazoa; Nematoda; Chromadorea; Rhabditida; Anisakidae. The record is from Rfam.
CCAACGGCCCUCUUUAGGGCCACAAAUUAAUAAACCAAACUUUGU